GGUAUCUGCGUCAGCAUGCGUAGGCUGCAAAGGAACAAGUAAUACUGUAGGUUUAUUGCAUGCUGAAAAGAGAAGAAAGAAAACACAACGUUUUGGACGUGGAGCCUUCUUCAGGUGUCAUAUAAGAUAUAAGAACAUGCUAUGAUCAUUUUCGCAUUUGAACGUGAUCUAGACUUUAACUCCCCGGCAACUUUUACGCCACGCCUGUUUUUACACAAUGGCUGGUGUUGAUGUUUCCAUGGUAAGCAAUGACGCUUUCCCUCGUACCGGAGCUCAUGUUCAUGUCUGCGUCAGGACUGCUGAGCCGGAGGUGCUGUUAAAAAUUGACAAACGCGUGUUGGUUUUCAGUUCCUCAUCAAAUUAUUUUGUUGCUCAUCUCGCUCAUCUCGCGAAAUGUAACUAUUUUCUCUGUAACCUGGGCCACAACACUGCUAUGUAAUGUAGGCGACCAACGAUCAAAUCAGAACAGCAAGAAAAGCCUUCUGUUUACCAAAGAAACGGGGACUUGCAGAAAUUCUCUUGGGGCUAAAAAAUGACAAGCAGAUUGCUAGCAUCUUUUAAUGUCCUGGACAGCUGCUCUGAGAAGAUCUUGAAAAAGCAUGCUAGGAGCCGACAAUUGGGUGAUACUCCAAGAAAAAGAUUUACUGAUUGUCUUGAAACCUCAUAUUUGCCAUUAAGCAGUGAAAGUGAGUGGGUCUAUGACCUGCCUAGCACAAGAAGAACUGAAAUCUCGAAACCUAAAUCAACUAAAGAAAUUAUAAAUGAGGAACAAAGACUCAUUCAUAAGAAAAUAAGCUCAGCAAGAACUAUUAGACCUGUUUCUGCCCUUAAAAGGGCACCCAGGCUAGAGCACAGCGGCAAACCCCACAUCAGACCAUUCACCUGCCCUGAGGACCUCGCCUGGAGAGCAGCAUACUGGAAAAGCAAAGAGAAGAAUACCGAAGAAGGAUUCAUGAUUAUUACAAUUAAAACAUCACAGUCCUUAAAAUCAGGAAAGAACACAGCACGGAGAAUCAAAUGGUCAAGAGAGGUAGAAAAAGUCCCAUGUUUAGAUGCAUUAAGUAAGCAGAGCAGCCAGGCACUGGUUGGGGGAACUCUUGGCUACACUGACACAUCACACUGGUAUUCCUUCUCUGCAAACACUAGCCGUGCUGAAGAGACACCUAUUAGCGUUUUUACUGGAGAAGAUGAAAGUCAAUACAGUAUUCCUGGGUCAGUUGGAAAAUUGGUUGCACAACAAUUACAGUAUGGAAAUGUUGUCCGCGUUGGCAUGAAUGGAGCAUAUAGAAGAAUCAGAGAAAAUUCAGAAAAGGACACUGAAAGAGAAGAACGUGUUCAAAGUGUGAAACAUUCAGCUGCUGAAGUCACAUCUGAAGUAGUCCCUCUUAGCAUGAAAGAUGAACUGGAAAAAAAGACUGCUAGAAUACUUUCACCAAAAUCCCAGGAUAUAUACUUGCCUCUUCCAAUUGUUAGUAAGACAUAUCCUGUGGUGUAUCAUCAUGAUUAUCAACAUAAACCAUUCUGCAGCCAAGGCUUGCACGCUUUUGAGGAUAAAGAGUCUUUGCAUCAAAGGGCAGAAGGAAGGAAAAAUGAUAAAAAUGAAGUCUAUUCUGCUAUAGUCCGCAUAACCCAGUCGAUGCAGGAAGACCACAUUAUUGGCAAGGCAUCACAACGAGAAAGAAUGGAAAAGCUUUUUCCUUUGAGACCAGAAACAAACCUGAAAAGGAACAAAUCUGGGAAGAAUAAUGCGAAUGUUCAAGUGUUAGCAAAUGAUGGAAAAAACAAAACAUGUCUGGACUUUAAAAAUGUCCCUCAAGGGAUUACUACUCAUAAUAUCUCAGCCUUAUCGCCACGUAUUGCUUUGAAUAAAGCACCCCAAGGUCUUAUCAGUGCAUCAAAGUUUAAGAACUCCUCUAAUGCUAGUGUAGGUCCAAUACAGAAUGGAGUAAAUCCAAAACAGCCUCUUGAAUUUAAUGACUUGUCCACAGACUUUUUAAAAGGGGUGGAAAUGAUGGUAAAAACAAAUUCAACCAGUGGUGGAAACCAGACAGCUUCAGUUUUACAAAAAAACAUAAGUGCAUACCAGGAGAGCAAGAACUACAUAAACUUUACAAAGCCACUCAGAUAUAACAAGAAUGAAACCAUUCUUACCAAUCAGCUUUCUCUUAUGGAAAUGUGCCAAUCAGCACAUACUUUACUACCAGAGACCUUUAUUAUGUCAGAAAGCACGGGUGCAUAUGAGAUUAAUUUUCUUCAGUCAAGGCCAAACAGCAGCACAGAGUACACAGGGAAAUUCCAAGAGCAGUGUCCUGCAAGAAAAGGAUCACCAGAAGGCAACGUUUCCCCAAUACCUUCGAAGACAGAUGUAACAGAGAUCUGCACAGAGGUCACUAACAGCAUUGGGAGGCCCAGUUCAGAUCCUCAGGAUGAAAACAAACCAGAUCAAGUUCCUGAAGAAGAAAUUAAGCCUCAUACGAAGCUUCCAUCUUCCGUUGACUCACACCAAGUUAUCAGCAUUCCUACUGCAGAAUGUGACAUUCAGAGUGUGUCAGAAUGAAUCUCUGAAGCUGAUGAACUGCGAAAAUCUGAGGACACUUGAAAUACAUUAUUAUGGUUAACUUUACAAACCCUGCAACACAGCCCUUGGCUCACUCACAAGUAAAGACAUAAUUUAACAUUCUAUGUGUGAGGGCUUUUUAUUUGUUGUUUUAAAGCAAAAUAUAAGCACAACACUGUGCAGGAUGGAUUGUGUGUAUCAAUUAAAUUUAAUUUAAACUACAAGCUGUGAACUUUUA
Long non-coding RNA from Lepisosteus oculatus (spotted gar), 2795 nucleotides. Lineage: Eukaryota; Metazoa; Chordata; Actinopteri; Semionotiformes; Lepisosteidae. The record is from Ensembl.